RNAcentral lists this ribosomal RNA (330 nucleotides) under Triticum aestivum (bread wheat). RNAcentral describes it as "partial small subunit ribosomal RNA". The record is from RNAcentral. Lineage: Eukaryota; Viridiplantae; Streptophyta; Magnoliopsida; Poales; Poaceae.
AUGGAAGAUAGAAAGAGCAGGCCACAGAGUAUAACUCGUGUAGGGUGUAAAGCUAAAUUGGUGAUUGCAAGACAGGAGGAAACAUGUCAGUGGUUUGUGAAGGAUUUCAUCGAUGAACACAACCAUCCUCUAGCCCCACGAGAUCUGUCGUGUCUUUUGCAUUCACACAGAAGAAUUAGCGAUGAGCAGAAUGCAGACAUUGCAGACACGGAAAAAUUAGGGAUCAGGAAACACCAUCUUAUGGAUAUUUUUUGCAUGCAAUAUGGUGGAUAUGAUGAGGUUGGAUGCACGACGAGUGACAUUUACAAUUUCUGCCAUGCUAACAAGUAG